This 3028-nucleotide long non-coding RNA is filed under the name Monomorium pharaonis (pharaoh ant). Its description in RNAcentral is "uncharacterized LOC118647974, transcript variant X2". Lineage: Eukaryota; Metazoa; Arthropoda; Insecta; Hymenoptera; Formicidae. The record is from RNAcentral.
GCACGUAAAGGGUUGUAACUGUGACUAAUUUUUUAUGAAGCUCUCACGCUUGAUGAGCGUUUACGCGCAGAAAUGACAUCGAUACGCGAUACGUAACGUAAUGUGCUAACAACGCUCGCGCGCGUUACCAGUUCUUUUUAGAAUUUGUAACAUUGGAAGCGCCCGUUAUGGAGCAAUCUCGUCGACGCGAUUACGCAAAUCAGUAAUAACAACUCUGCGGCGAAUUACGUAUCGCGCGUAUCGAUUCGGGAUACUUUUUCGUGCUCUAGCGCGGUUCGUAAUAUCGAAAUCUGGCGGCCGGUGGACGCCCAUAAUCGCUCCGCCGCGCCGCGUCUAAAUCGAUCUAAAAAGAAGCCACAGUCUGGGCCCAGGUCCAAGGCGGAGAGAGAGAAAGAGGAAAGUCUUCCCCUAAGGGCGUAUAAUGACACUAAAUUGCCGUUCCUAUCCUAGAAGAGAUCCGAGAUUAGUCGCUGAAAGUAAUGAGACCCGGAUAGACCGACCGCUCUACCUAGGCCGCUUUCAUGCAAAUUGUUCUCGAAUCAAGCACAAGGUCGACGUACGAUUUCCAUGAUACCGUAUUAAGCGAUCCAAAAUAACGUGGGAAAAUGUUGGCGGUCCUUGGGAACAAAUACGAAGACGCGCGAUCAAGAUCAACUCGGUCGAGCGUAAAUGUGCUUUCGGUAAGAGAUAUAAUUUGUAACGGAAGCGUGAUGAAACUCUCGAUGCAAAUUGAGCAAAUUCAAUAACGACGCAAUUUGCGUGUGUAUCCCAUGGCAGAUUUUCACAACGAGCCUUUCAAUUCCUUUGCGGAACUCGUGCCUCCUUUCGCGCACACGCGCGCCGCGAGGAAUUAGAGGGAGGGCGCAAUUUGCGUGAAGGGAGCUAAAAAUUAGAGCGAACGGCAGAAGCCGACUGAAACUUUAGAUAACGAACUUCAUCAAAAGCAGCAGCUCCAUGCAAAUCGCUCGCGGGGGUAGCGCGGAGGAUAGGGAAGGACAAGGCGAGUGUCGGCGGCUACCGAAGGGCCGGAGGCUGUGUAGAGGAGAGGUCCCGAAGCGGAUUUGGACGCGGAGAGGUAAAAGCGAGAGGGUCCGCGGAAGCGGCAGGAAAUUAAGGUCUGGAGGGCCGCGCGGCCAUUAGCAGCCGGCGCCAUGGAGGCGACACGCCCCCACGUGGAUUCAACCUUGCGCCAGCAACACCGGCGAAAGACAACGAACGCGCGCACCCUUCCAGGAUGGAAGCGACGUGAGAGAGGGAGAGAGAGAGAGAGGGAGAUGGGGAGAGAGACGAAAGAGAGCGAGGAGAAAGAGAAACGAGAAACGGAGAAGUCGCGACCGCGCCGCGCUCGAUCUAUCCUUCGAAGAAAGAGAGAUCCGGAGAGUCCUGCUAGGUUGCCCCGAUCAUUCAUCAACGCGUACAACAAAUGUCCUGCUCAUAUUUCUUCGCGGUAACAUGACACACCGUUGUAUAUGGUCAUUACUCAGGAUGCACUCGUGCACGAGGCGCCGUUUCAAGGCUUUCCGGGUGAUUUGUUCCUGUUACCUUUAACGCAAAAGUAACGAGUUAAAUAACUUUGCGUUAAAACUGUAGAUAGGCGAUUGUGAGAGCGAUUUUUGUACGAUCGAGAAAGCCGUGGAAUCGAGGAGUGAAACGUCUACAUCAGUUUCCCGUCUAAACGACGAGAGACAAGUUGGAAAGUAUCAAGAGUUAUUAUUCCGAGAAAUCUCCGGACGCCGUGUGAUUGCUCCCCGUUACGAUGCUGCCGACGAAUGGGAGCGCUCGUUGACGCGGAGGUCGUAAGAGGGUGACGGGCCGGCAGGAUGGGAGAACCGCGGAGGGUUGAAAGGACGAAAUCGUCGUCUCUCCCGCUUUUACGUCGAAAGGGAGGCGGAAGGUUUAGCGCGGCGGAGAUCGCAACGGGGUUGAGUGUCUCUCCGCCGGUGUACGAGCCACGCCCUCUUCAAGCUCGAUGAGUGCAGGUUGUAGGCAGGCCACGUAUCGAUCCGCCGGGACAAUAUGACAGUGGCCUGCGGAGACAACGACGUCCCUCGAUCAGCUCCCUCCAUCACUGAACCCUACGCGCGGAUACACGCCCUCCGUGACGCGGGUCGCGCGGCUUAACCGUCGCGAUCGCGAUUCGGCAGUUUAUUGUCGUCCUUUUGUCUUUUUCGGAGCGCUCUCACCGUGGCAAGGUGUCAACUAAGCUUCUAAAACCACGUCUCGAGUCCAAAUUAAGAGGGAACUGUAAUCGGCCGAGCGGACAAUCGACCGUCGACGGAAGUGCGACGACGAUCGUGCGUAGGUGAAAAGCUCGAGGAGAACCCCUCGUUCGCACAUCAGGCGAGACGCACGUCGACGAUCGGUACCUACCAGGUCUAUACUAUAUGCGUGCACGCUAACGAAGACAUCGGGAGCUCGUAAUAAUGUUGCGAACGGUCUUUCAGGAAGCGGCUUAGAAACUUGUUUCCGCUAUCAAGCCAUCGUUAUCGAAUUAGCCGAGCAGAGACAAUUAGACGAGGACGAAGUCGCGGGAAAAAAAAGAGAGGCUUCGUGCUCCAUAAAGGAGCGCCGCGCAAAAUUAGCCGGCGUUCUUUUCUGCUUUCGGUGUAAAAAGUGUCGGUCGUUCUCAAGAGCCAUUGACCGCGAUCUUCAAGCACCUGCCGAGCCGGCAUGGUCGAGUUUCUGAUUGGAUCCACCUGCAUUGAGUAGCCCCCAACCAGCGGUAUUGACUAACUGCGCCACUUCCACCAAGUCGCACUUUGCGUACUCCAACUUCUAGUUUUCUAUAUUUAACUGAAUCAUGAAUUCCUUAUACAGUGUUUUAAAUUUUAUUAUAACACAUAUGAUUCUAUCUUAUUUCAUUGUAAAGACAAAUACUAAUAUUCGCUCUACUUGGAAAUAAUAUUUUUUCUAGUCGGUAUAAAUAUAUUUAAAAGUUUUAUAUUUUAAAGUAUACUGUUGUGCGAUUCUGAUAUUUAUGCGAGAUAUUUAAAGAAAAAUUCUGAAUUAAAUCUAUAAAUGCAAUCCA